This 433-nucleotide ribosomal RNA is filed under the name uncultured bacterium. RNAcentral describes it as "partial 16S ribosomal RNA". It matches the Rfam family "Bacterial small subunit ribosomal RNA", at positions 29 to 507 of the family's 1533-position model. The record is from RNAcentral.
AACGAACGCUGGCGGCAUGCCUAACACAUGCAAGUCGAACGAGACCUUCGGGUCUAGUGGCGCACGGGUGCGUAACGCGUGGGAACCUGCCUUUAGGUUCGGAAUAACUUCCCGAAAGGGGUGCUAAUACCGGAUAAUGUCUUCGGCCCAAUGAUUUAUCGCCAUUGGUUGGGCCCGCGUUGGAUUAGCUAGUUGGUAGGGUAAAAGCCUACCAAGGCGCCGCUUCAUGGCUGGGCUGAGAGGAGGAUCAGCCACACUGGGACUGAGACACGGCCCAGACUCGUACGGGAGGGAGCAGUGGGGAAUAUUAGACAAGGAGCGAAAGCGUGGUCCAGCAGUGCCGCGGGAGUGAGGAAUGCCUUAGGGUUGUAAAGCUCGUUUACCCGGGAUGAUAGUGACGGUACCGGGAGAAGAAGCGCCGGCUAACUCCGUG